Rhinolophus ferrumequinum (greater horseshoe bat) is the source of this 646-nucleotide long non-coding RNA. RefSeq lists it as uncharacterized. NCBI's taxonomy places the organism in Eukaryota, Metazoa, Chordata, Mammalia, Chiroptera, Rhinolophidae. The transcript has 3 exons. The record is from RefSeq and is a predicted model, not a curated record.
UAAUAAUACAACAUCUGCGCCUUUUCGUGACCUUCCAGUCCCUUGGAGCUAUGAGCAAGCUCAUUCCCCUAUAAAAUCAGAGAAGCCAAAUUGCUUGUAGAGCAGCUGUCUCCAUUAUCUGGAGGCAAGGAAAUGCUGGUGGUAGCUCUCUUGGGAUGCGGCCUGGUUUAGCUGUCCCUCUGUGAAAGACCUCGGGAUGAGUGACUGGGCGGUCCUGCAGCCAGAAGGCUCCGCCAGACUUUCUUGUAGGUGCCUCAUUCUCAACCAUCACAUCUCAACCCAGUUGUCACCUCCUCUGAGAAGCCUUCCCUGACCACUUGACCUAGAGUACGUUCCACCCAGAAUUUAAAACAGUACUUGGCAUGUAAACGGGAUUCAUCGAAUGAGUGAAUUCAGCAAAUGUGUAAGUGACCAGAUGAGAGAUGGAAGAUGAGUGCCCAUUCAGCUGUUUGAGGAGAGGCAGGGCUGGUGAAAGCAAAGCAAAACAGACAAGCCAGCAGCCCUGUGAGCUUCCGGAACCCUCCCUGCUUCCUCACACCCCACCCUGGCCAUUUUCUCUGUCUCUACUGGGCAAUCAGUUCUCCUGUCUGAGCUCCUGGAAAGAAAGACCAUUGUUUCAUUUGGCUUUUCUCCCCUCAUGAGAUAG